UACGUAGGGGGCAAGCGUUGUCCGGAAUCAUUGGGCGUAAAGAGCGUGUAGGCGGCCCGAUAAGUCCGCCGUGAAAGUCCAGGGCUCAACCCUGGGAUGCCGGUGGAAACUGUCGGGCUAGAGUCCGGAAGAGGCGAGUGGAAUUCCUGGUGUAGCGGUGAAAUGCGCAGAUAUCAGGAGGAACACCGGUGGCGAAGGCGGAUCUCUGGGCCUUACCUGACGCUGAGGCGCGAAAGCUAGGGGAGCGAACAGG
RNAcentral lists this ribosomal RNA (253 nucleotides) under uncultured bacterium. Its description in RNAcentral is "partial 16S ribosomal RNA". It matches the Rfam family "Bacterial small subunit ribosomal RNA", at positions 524 to 776 of the family's 1533-position model. The record is from RNAcentral.